This 253-nucleotide ribosomal RNA is filed under the name uncultured bacterium. RNAcentral describes it as "partial 16S ribosomal RNA". It matches the Rfam family "Bacterial small subunit ribosomal RNA", at positions 524 to 776 of the family's 1533-position model. The record is from RNAcentral.
GACAGAGGUGCCGAGCGUUAGGCGGAAUCACUGGGCUUAAAGCGUGUGUAGGCGGACCCGUCAGUGUCUUGUGAAAUCCCCCGGCUCAACCGGGGAACCGCUGGGCAUACUGCGGGUCUUGAGACACCUAGGGGCGAGCGGAACAGGCGGUGGAGCGGUGAAAUGCGUAGAUAUCGCCUGGAACGCCGACGGUGAAAACAGCUCGCUGGGGGUGUUCUGACGCUGAGACACGAAAGCCAGGGGAGCGAACGGG